ACCGAGCUCACAGCAGGGGGAGGGUGGAGGCUGAUGGCAGGGCUAUAUGCAGAGCAUGAGGGGUCUGGGACGUUUCUCCUGAGUGCAUACCUCACCCACUUCAUGGCUGCCAUUUACUAGCGUGACUGAGGAGAUGAAAAAAAAAAAGAUAUGAAGAAUUUGACAAAAGUUACAGCUAUUAUGUGGCAAAGAGUAUACAGGAGCAAAACCUAACUGAUUAGAAAAGUAAGUAUUUAAGAAUCCUUACCACUGAGAAUGCUAGUGUGGACUUCUGAAUUGAAGAUAUCAUGAAUUUCAAUGUAACUCACAUGCAAAGAUUCACUUCUCACUAUCAGAUAAGUAGGAAAUAGUGGUUCUUGCUGACAUGAAGCUGGUUUUGUUCCUGGUGAAAACAAUAAGCAACGAGAAAACAGCCCAUGGCAACACCAGCUGAAUUUCAAGAGGUUCAAUGAGGGUGCAGCAGUAGUGGCAGUAUGCUGUACACCCAGCAUAAUCCUACCUAAUGCCACACAGGGUUCUGUGUACACAGGUGGGAGUCGAAUGGCCACUGGACAGAGCCAUAGCAAGGAGUAUGUCUCAUCCAUGAAAGAGAAGCAAUCAAUUUCUUUUACAGAAUGUAGAGUGCCAGGUCCACUACCCAUGACAUCAAGCCACAACACUCCCAAAUGGAAGUCUGAGGACAUAUAUAGGCCUAAAUGCAACAUAACCUUGAUAACCAGGAAAUAUUACAUGAGCUAUGGGGAAAGAAGGUUUCAUUCACAGCAGAUACAGGGUAGUGCCAUUAUUCAAGGGGGCCACAAGGUAUUCUGCAAAAAUAGACAAUCCUACACAAUAAUGGACCCAUUCCAUGCCUGGCAAGCCAGUCAGCAAGAACAGAGAGUAACUAAGGUUGGCACUUGAUAGAAUGGGCAUCUGAAUUCCAAAAGAAAGGUCUCUUCACUGGGCACAGAUGUCAAUGUGUUGAAGGUUACAUAGGCCAUUCACUAUGAAUUUCCCAACAACACUUGACACUGAUUUCUGGAUCUGAAGGCCUCUUAAUUAACCAUUGCCCUCAAAAGAAGCCUGAACUCUGUCCCUGCUUACUCUGUCAUUUUAUUUCACUUAAUCUUCUCCUCAACUUAAUGACGUUAAAUGUCAGCAAAGUAUUUUGAGUUAGUCUCAGAAAAAUUAAUAUAGCACAAUCUUAGAAUGUCCAAUUCAUAAACAUUCUGGUCCUAUUCAAUCAUUGCAUUUUAAAAAUUCAGGUUUUUAAUUUCACAUAGAAGUUAUUCUUCCAAUUAAAUUAAGCAUGCUUGUUGAGGCUUUUUGCUUGCAAUUUCCUCGUCAUUUUGUUGUCAUUAUGUGCCCCUCUCUGCAUGUUCACAUGCUUGUGCACAAUGAAAGCGUAUUUUAACAGAAAUACGUGUUGUGAGCUGCAGUAAAGGUAGGAUCUCUAAAGAAAUAAACUGUACAAGCUAGACUGGAGGAACCUGCAGAUGCCACCCAUGGGGCCUGGGGAGAUGCCUGAGGUCUGAGUUACUGGGUGCUAAGUGUCACGUGUGCCUGGAGGGGCCAAAGAAGAGAAAACCCUUUCUUCUGAUCAUGUUGUGCUACCAGAUUUUAAAUUUUUUCUAAGUUAUUAGUUUAAGGGUGACUGUGUCACUCAUUUUUCUUGAUAUUUAAUACAGGUGAACAUGUUUUCAGGUUUAUCAGAAUAUUUGUUCUACUGUUUUGUGCAUUGCCAUUGCCUGUUCAUAUAUUUGCCUAAUAUCUUAUUAGAUUCUAUUUUUUAUCCUCUUAAUUGUAGAUUCUUUUUUAUCUAUUCUGGACAUGAAAUCUAAGUGCUUCCAUAAAAGUACAUUACAGAUAACAUUUCCUUGCCAGUUGUUUGCAUUGCUUCCUUAUUUGUCCAUCCUUCUGCUAUUUAAGUGCAUCACGGCCUUGUAGGUACAGACAAUGGUAGAAAUUUUGUUGUCCUUCCAUAAGCAUUUAUGAUGCUCAGUGAGGAUUCUGAAUAGAAUUGAUUUAUAUAUUUACUUUGUAAUAGCUGGUAAAUUAAAAAAACAGAAAAAUCAUAUUCAGUAAAGUGUUUCAUUUUGCAUAUAGGUCUAUAAUUUUAUGUCCAUAGUGUUAUUGUCACAAACAUCUUGAACAUUUAUUAAUUUGAUUUAUUCUAGGUAAUUUAUAGUUUUGUUGAAUUUUGCACCUGCUUUAUACGAGUUUCUUGAUAAUAAAAAUGAUCUGUUGGAAGCCAUA
Ochotona curzoniae (black-lipped pika) is the source of this 2235-nucleotide RNA transcript. It is a transcript of the gene named olfactory receptor 51I2-like, with no coding region annotated. The record is from RefSeq and is a predicted model, not a curated record. The transcript is spliced from 4 exons. Lineage: Eukaryota; Metazoa; Chordata; Mammalia; Lagomorpha; Ochotonidae.